Molecule: long non-coding RNA, 1074 nt
Organism: Peromyscus californicus insignis
Lineage: Eukaryota; Metazoa; Chordata; Mammalia; Rodentia; Cricetidae
Exons: 2
Source: RefSeq, a predicted model, not a curated record
UCCUUCCUUCCUUCCUUCCUUCCUCUCUCCUUCCUUCCUUCCUUCCUUCCUUCCUUCCUUCCUUCCUUCCUUCCUUCCUCUCUUCUUCCUUCCUUUUUUCCUUCAUUCCUUCUUUCUUUCCUUCCUUCCUUCCUUCCUCUAUCCUUCCUUCCCACUCCCUUCCCCCCUCUUUCCUUUUUUUGUUUCCUGCAUCUAUAUAGCUGAGAAAGGUCUAGGCAGCCCACCAAUGGCAGCCAGCAGACGCUUUCCCAGACCUCAGAUACUAUUCCUUUCCACUGUGGGAGAGGCUGGUAAGAAGCAAGCUGACACAUCAUCCAAUUACAGAUGAAUCUGAGAGCCGUAGAGACAGCAGUUCAGGAAAGUCACUCCAGAGACAGCAUAAAGAAUGGGUUCAAACCCGCCAAUGCCAUCCAGCCCCUCUUCCAGAGAGCUAAAGCAAUUUUUCUCUUAUUGCCUCACACAAGGGGCUCUGCCCAUGGAGUGUCCUCUGUCAGCAGUGUGCUGGUGAAUGAGGAAGAAGCUGGCCAUCCUUUUGGGGCCUAUGAAGUCACCUGGUGUCAUGCUCACUGAUCUCCAUGUGUUGAAGCACACAAGCCCAGCCGCCACAGCCAGGAGACAGCGACUCACCUCCAGAGAGCAGCAGUGUCACGGCAGAGCUUAGAAGUUUGCUUAACAUAUCUGGACUAAACCUAGACUUCUUGAUUCCAAAUCCAAAUCCAAGCACAGUAGAGUCUUAGAGUUGGGUUAGUCUGGAUGGGGGAGGUUGGGUAUGUGACCCUGGGCAAAUUAUUUUAUCCCUAGAGUCUCAGCUUUAUCUUCUUGGAAAAACAAUGAAGAAACCAUUCCAACUUCAGAUUGUUAUGGUUGACAGUUCAAUUAAAUGAAGCCAGUAAAAAUGCUAAAUAGCAGUGAAAACUGUGUAAUAAAUGAAAUAUUAAGAAUUAUGUUUAAAAUGCCCAUUUAGCAAUAAUAUGGCUACUUUCAUUUGUAAUUUCUGUAUUAUAGUCAUCCAUUGUCAUUGUUAUUGUUAAGCAUUGCCUGAGGCAUAAUAAACCCAGACAACAUUCACUCUUU